GGGUUGUGAGGUUAAGCGACUAAGCGUACACGGUGGAUGCCCUGGCAGUCAGAGGCGAUGAAGGGCGUGCUAAUCUGCGAUAAGCGCCGGUAAGGUGAUAUGAACCGUUAUAACCGGCGAUACCCGAAUGGGGAAACCCAGUGUGACUCGUCACACUAUCAUUAACUGAAUCCAUAGGUUAAUGAGGCGAACCGGGGGAACUGAAACAUCUAAGUACCCCGAGGAAAAGAAAUCAACCGAGAUUCCCCCAGUAGCGGCGAGCGAACGGGGAGGAGCCCAGAGCCUGAAUCAGCAUGUGUGUUAGUGGAAGCGUCUGGAAAGACGCGCGAUACAGGGUGACAGCCCCGUACACAAAAGCGCAUGUGCUGUGAGCUCGAUGAGUAGGGCGGGACACGUGGUAUCCUGUCUGAAUAUGGGGGGACCAUCCUCCAAGGCUAAAUACUCCUGACUGACCGAUAGUGAACCAGUACCGUGAGGGAAAGGCGAAAAGAACCCCGGCGAGGGGAGUGAAAAAGAACCUGAAACCGUGUACGUACAAGCAGUGGG
This 546-nucleotide ribosomal RNA is filed under the name Salmonella enterica. Its description in RNAcentral is "partial 23S ribosomal RNA". It matches the Rfam family "Bacterial large subunit ribosomal RNA", at positions 1 to 577 of the family's 2925-position model. The record is from RNAcentral. Lineage: Bacteria; Pseudomonadati; Pseudomonadota; Gammaproteobacteria; Enterobacterales; Enterobacteriaceae.